GAUGAACGCUGGCGGCGUGCCUAAGGUAUGCAAGUCGAAUGCGCCCUCGGGCGCAUGGCGCACGGCUGAGUAACACGUAGAUAACGUACCCCCACAACGGGAAUACCCCUUCGAAAGAGGGAACAAUACCCGAUAUGUCACAGAUCGUCUGGUUUGUGAUGAAAGCUCCGGCGCGUGGGGAGCGGUCUGCGGCCUAUCAGCUUGUUGGCGGGGUAAAAGCCCACCAAGGCGAUGACGGGUAGGGGGCGUGAGAGCGCGUACCCCCAGAGGGGCACUGAGAUAAGGGCCUCACUCCUACGGGAGGCAGCAAUCAGGAAUCUUGCACAAUGCGCGAAAGCGUGAUGCAGCGACGCCGCAUGCGGGAUGAAUGUCUUCGGAUUGUGGACCGACAUUAAAAAGGCCUGGCUAACUACGUGCCAGCAGCAGCGGUAAAACGUAGAGGUCGAGCGUUAUCCGGAGUUAUUGGGCGUAAAGAGUUCGUAGGCGGUUUUUUAAGUCUGUGGUUAAAUCCCUUGGCUCAACCAAGGAACUGCCAUGGAUACUGAAUAACUAGAAACACUAAGGGGAAAGCGGAACCGACGGUGGAGGGGUGAAAUCCGUUGAGAUCGUCGGGAACACCAAAGGCGAAGGCAGCUUUCUGGGGGUGUAUUGACGCUAAGGAACGAAAGCGUGGGUAGCAAAACGGAUUAGAUACCCGUGUAGUCCACGCCGUAAACGAUGCUCGCUAGAUGCGUGUCUCACCAAGAGUAGCAAGCAACAAAUUACAAGCACCAAGAUCCAAACAUUAUUGUUUGUGAUUUGUAAUUUGGAAUUUGUAUUUUUGGUGAGGUGCGCGUCGAAGCUAACGCGUUAAGCGAGCCGCCUGGGGAGUACGGCCGCAAGGCUAAAACUCAAAGGAAUUGACGGGGGACCGCACAAGCGGUGGAGCAUGUGGUUUAAUUCGAUAUUAACCGAAGAACCUCACCGAGACCUGACAUGCAAGGAUUAAUCCAGCGAAAGCUGGAGGAUUGCCCCUUGUGGGUGUAACUUGCACAGGUGUUGCAUGGCCGUCGUCAGCUCGUGUCGUGAGAUGUCGGGUUAAGUCCCUUAACGAGCGCAACCCUUACGGCUAGUUGUAUCACUCUAGCCGGACUGCCCCGGAAACGGGGAGGAAGGUGGGGACGACGUCAAGUCGGCAUGGCCCUUAUGUCUCGGGCUGCACACAUGCUACAAUGGCCGGUACAAUAGGCAGCGAAGUCGCAAGGCGGAGCAAAUCCCUAAAGCCGGUCCCAGUUCGGAUUGGAGGCUGCAACUUGCCUCCAUGAAGUUGAAAUCGCUAGUAACCGCGCGUCAGCUAUAGUGCGGUGAAUACGUUCUCGGUCCUUGUACACACCGCCCGUCAACUGGGAAAAGUUGGGGGUACCCGAAGGCUCUACUAGUUAGGGACGAAGGUAAACUCAGUGAUUAACAGU
RNAcentral lists this ribosomal RNA (1451 nucleotides) under uncultured bacterium. RNAcentral's name for it is "bacterial SSU rRNA". It matches the Rfam family "Bacterial small subunit ribosomal RNA". The record is from RNAcentral.